UACGAAGGGGGCGAGCGUUGUUCGGAUUUACUGGGCGUAAAGGGCGCGCAGGCGGCCAUUCAAGUCAGGCGUGAAAGCCCCGGGCUUAACCUGGGAACUGCGUCUGAUACUGGAUGGCUUGAGUGUGGGAGAGGGAUGCGGAAUUCCAGGUGUAGCGGUGAAAUGCGUAGAUAUCUGGAGGAACACCGGUGGCGAAGGCGGCAUCCUGGACCAUUACUGACGCUGAUGAGCGAAAGCCAGGGGAGCAAACGGG
RNAcentral lists this ribosomal RNA (253 nucleotides) under uncultured prokaryote. RNAcentral's name for it is "partial 16S ribosomal RNA". It matches the Rfam family "Bacterial small subunit ribosomal RNA", at positions 524 to 776 of the family's 1533-position model. The record is from RNAcentral.